CUGAAUGUCCAAUGUGCAAGCACUUUCCCAUAUAUCUAUCCAAAAAUAAUUUGAAUUUGUUGCAACAGAUACACAAGAUAGAUACUAUGUUAUGUACCCUACAACUUUUCUCAAAACGGAGACACCACUUGGUGGAGCCAAAGGAUCGCAAUAUGUUACUAAUCUUUAUUUUAAUUUUGCAAUGUUAAUUUGUUAUAUUGACAAUUAUGCAAUUUUCUAAUGUACACUUCCUUAGCCAACUAAUGGCUUUUUAAUUUCGCAAAGAGGUAUUAGUAUUGUUUUCUCUAAUUAAGUCAAAAACAACAUGGGAAAAAAAUUAAGCAAUGGAAAAUGAUUGUGCAG
Molecule: long non-coding RNA, 342 nt
Filed under: Medicago truncatula (barrel medic)
Lineage: Eukaryota; Viridiplantae; Streptophyta; Magnoliopsida; Fabales; Fabaceae
Description: long non-coding RNA (MTRU_LNC006696)
Source: RNAcentral